Long non-coding RNA from Papilio polytes (common Mormon), 532 nucleotides. RefSeq lists it as uncharacterized. The transcript is spliced from 2 exons. The record is from RefSeq and is a predicted model, not a curated record. Lineage: Eukaryota; Metazoa; Arthropoda; Insecta; Lepidoptera; Papilionidae.
CUCUAUUGUGGCUGAAUAUUCUUAAAUAAGGGAAGUAAUGUGUGAACAAAAUCAAUCAAUAUAGUGAGAUAUUGUCCGGUGACAUUGGCUAAUCGUGCGGCGUGCGUUGUGCUAUCGUGUUAUCACCGUAGUGAGGCCGGGCCAGAUGCGCGUGUGUGCGCUCCGGCCGCGUAUCGGCUGCAUUCCUCACUAUUAUGUCCGCGAGAUUCCUCGCCCUGCCUCGCCGAAUGCCUCACUCCUCGACCGGCCAAAUUUUUUGCGCGCUCCGUUCGCAAAUCGAACCGACCUUAAACGUUGUACAAAAACUUCAUAAAGUUACAAAAACCGGCGAAGAACACGAAAAUCAAUAAGAAACGUAUCGCGGUAUGUAUAAUCAGUCGUUGUGUUCUAACCACUGGCUAAUAAAACGUCCGACGCAAAAUAAUAUACUGACUCCUACCGUCUAGAAUCCAUUGUUUGACAAGUACACCGUUUUAGUAUUUGUUAUUAUUUUAUAAAAUCCAACUAUCGCGCCACGACUCUGUUGACGAAA